GAUGGUACAAAGGGCAGCAAAACCGCGAGGUCAAGACGAAUGCCAUAAACCCAUUGUCAGUUCGGAUUGUAGUCUGCAACUCGACUACAUGAAGCUGGAAUCGCUAGUAAUCGUAGAUCAGCAUGCUACGGUGAAUACGUUCCCCGGGUCUUGUACACACCGCCCGUCACAAAAGGGAGAGUUUGUAACACCCGAAGCCGGUGGAGUAACCUUUUAGGAGCUAGCCGUCGAAAGGUGACAGAGAUGGG
Molecule: ribosomal RNA, 248 nt
Filed under: Caryophanales bacterium
Lineage: Bacteria; Bacillati; Bacillota; Bacilli; Caryophanales
Description: Bacillales bacterium partial 16S ribosomal RNA
Rfam family: Bacterial small subunit ribosomal RNA
Source: RNAcentral